UGGGAUUCGUUGUUACAUUCUUGUUCGUGUAUACAGCAUAACAAUGAAAUUUGGUCAGUUUUGUUCCCCAGUGUCUCCCUUUCCCUUUCCUCCUCCCUCCCACUGGUUGUCUUCCUCUAAUCUGCUGGUCUCCUUUUUAUUUUCAUGGGAUUUCCUCUUUACCUUUUCCUUUUUUUUUUUUUUUUUCAUCUCUAACAUCUGACCCUGAUUUUUAUUUAUUGUGGUGCUAGGGACUGAACCCAGGGGUGCUUUACCACUGGGCAACAUCCCCAGCCCUUUUUAUUUUUAUUUUUUUUUAAAUAAUUAUUUUUUAGUUGUAGUUGUCAGUACCUUUAUUUUUUUUAUGUGAUGCUGAGAAUCGAACCCAGGGCCUCGCACGUGCUAGGCAAGCGCUCUACCACUGAGCCACAACCCCAGCCCCCUUUUUUGUUUUUUGAGACAGGGUCUCACUAAGUUGCUGAGGCUGUCCUGGAACUUGUGAUCCCCCUGCCUCUCCUUUCCAGAUCACUAGGAUUACAGAUGUGUACCACUGCACCAGGCCACUGAAACUACUACUAAUAUAGUAUUCGCAUUGUAUUAUAAGCAACAGAGAUAAUUUGAGGUAUGUGGGAAUGUGUAUGUAGGUUAUAUUGCAAAUACUGCCUGAGCACAGGUGGAUUUUGGUAUUUGCAAGGGGGUCCUUAGUCUAACAAUCAAGAAGCUUGUAUUUUUCUUGAAUACUAAGGUGUGGUUAUUGGUGUGACAGGGGCAUCAGAGUUCCAUUUAAGAAGCUUUGAAAGUUAUUGGCAGUUUUAAUGUUCACAUCUAGUGCGUAGGAGACUGGACUUUGCUGAUAGCUGAAUUUCUGACGCUGUUUACAAAAGCAAUCGAGCCAUGCAGUCUUUAUAGUAUUCUUUCUCUUUAACAUAUGUUCUAUAAUUCUGCUUUUGAAAUUCUACGGAGAGGGCUGGGGCUAUAGCUCAGCAGUAAAGCGCCUCCCUCACGUGUGGGGCACUGGGUUAGAUCCUCAGCACCACACAAAAAAAAUAAAGAUAUUGUGUCCAUCUGCAACUAAAAAAAAAAUCCAUCUAGAGAGAGUUAAAAUGGGAAUGAUCAGAAGUUUGUGGCUUAUAAAAGGAAGACAUGAGCCAGGCAGUUGGAACCAGCCAAUACCCAGUUGGUCACUGAUUUGUCAGGAUUUCCUUAAUGGUGUUCUGUAGGAUUUGACCUCUAGGCUUUUACAACACCAUCAAAAAGAACUUACCCUGAUCAGCUUGUCCAAACUCAAAGGAGACUUAGGCCUUGUAUCCAGAUAACCCCUUAUGAGUUCACAGUGGGACUGCUUUAUGAUUGCAGCACAGAAGGAAUGACCUGGUACCUGGGCUCCUUCCCCCACCCCUCAACCCCCACAUGGGAAAUGAACAAGGAGUCACUUGGCUAGUGUGGAUAGAGCCAGAACAGGGGAGUUAUGGUUCUGAUUUUCAGUAGAUGAUUCAGAUGCUGCUGCUCUGGCAUGGUUUGAGGGCUCUGUGCCUGUUGCAGGACUGGGCUAGACCUAGAGCUUUUUGUUGAGAACAUCUCAUUGUGCUUUAUUCCGUUUCUGUUGUGCCCCUACCCCAGACCCUGUCUCUGACUUCCUUUCUUUGCUCUUGGGAAUAUAGUAGUAUGAGAUUUACUAGUAGAAUCUGGUUCCAGUCUAACAUUUCCUGUUUUCUGCUUGCCUUACAGUCUGUUUCUAGCCUUUAUGCAGGUCACACUGCUGUGCACAUGAUGGCUAUACAGUCAACAAAUGUACGUGAUGAAUAUGCAUAUGGUUAUGUCACGUUUCUCCUAGAGUGUGGGGAGGGCAUCAUUGUAAGUGACCAUGAUUGCUGUGUUGAAAAAAAUGAAAAUCUGUCAGAACAUAGAAAGCCCGAGAGCUCUCUGGUUGCCAUCUGGUAGUCCCAUUUCUUUCUCCUGCACUCUGCUACUGCCUCUGAGUCAUGCCACUUUCUUCUACUCUGGUUCCUGAGUCUCCUUCCUGGUCUACAUUCUGAUUUGUUCAAUCUUCCAUCUGCCCUCUCAGCACACAGGUGACACAGUCUCUCUAAAUGAAGAUCUUUAUUCAUUGUUGCUAGCAUAAAGCUUUAAAUGCCCUGACCUUAGGGUGUGUGGUUUAUGAGGGUUGUUAUGAUUUGAACACUGUCAGCCUUUGCUGUCUUCAGUUUUCCCGCACUCCAUCCUUCUGGGGCAUCCUUCCUCCCUCUAAUCAUCCCACCCACCUACUUAAUUCCUUGACUUGCUCCUCACCGAAGGCCUCAAAUGCCAUAUGGCCUCCUCUGGCCUUCCUGUUUGAUCUUUAGUACAAUUUGGUCUUGGAACAUGACCUCUUUGCUCUUGCUUUCAUCUGGCUUGCUACCCAGUGUUCAACAUCCUGUACUAAGCUCACUAGCUUUCUUUUAGACACCACCCCCACCCUGUGCAUCUUCCAAGGUGUUCAUUGCUUUUUUCCUCCUCGAAACUCAUACAGAGUAGGUUGUUGGUUGCUUAGUCUGCAGUGAUGGGUCAAAACUAGGGCCUUUGAGUGCCAGGUAAGUGCUCUACCACUGAGCUACAUCCCUAGCUCUACAAAUGCUGGGUUUUGUCUAAAUGGAUAUCCACGUUCUCCUACCUUUGUUUCUGGCUUUUUAAUUCUCUUUCAGGCUCUUCUUUCUCUACCUCCCUCCCUCCCUAGACAUUCACAUGUUCUGAAAUCUCUGACCCCAGUUCUACCAUUUGAGUUUUUCUGUCCAUCUUUGGACCAUUCCACCAGAAUUUCUCAUAUCCAGGAUUGCUAACAUUAAAGCUACCCUCAGCAACUCUUUCUUUUCUGCCUUCUCUCAUUUAGGUCUAUGGUGUCACUCUGUUGCAGAAUAACUAGCUAGAUACCCUGGCCUGAGUGUUUCUCUCCCACCCUCACAGCUUUAGGAAUUCUGGCAUUUAGCUUUCCUGAUCAUUCCCAGUUAGGAAUAGCUACUGCUCUACUCCAGAUCUUUUCUUAGCGAUAAGGGCACUAUCAGUUACCCAUUUUCAACCUCUUUAAUAAACAUGAGUGCUGGGAGCCAUUAGCCAAGUAGGUAUGACAAUUUCCUUGCCAGCGUACCCCAUGUUGCUGACAUGUUGCAGUGACAUUGAAUGUNGAACGUGGAUUUGGGC
Molecule: long non-coding RNA, 3153 nt
Filed under: Marmota monax (woodchuck)
Lineage: Eukaryota; Metazoa; Chordata; Mammalia; Rodentia; Sciuridae
Source: RNAcentral